CACAAGCUACCACCAAUCGUGAUGAAGGCGGGUUAUCAUAAUAAUUGUUCGAUCCGGAUGAUUUUACUGGAAACGCUGUUGCAUUGGUCAACGACACUAACCAUCACCAUGAUGUGGAGAAGUAUCAAACACUAUAAUUUUGGUCAACUGUGUGUGGUCGUUGGCGAAUGCACGGUGCUUUCUUGUAGAACAUCCUGUCGGGUGGAAGAUGCGUGAUAGGUCCGAUCCAUGAUGCAGUCAAAUUAAGAUGUAAUACCGAGUUGCUUGUACACUUGUCAUGAAGUCCAAAUACACUUGCUUGCUGUUUUGGGAGGAUGAUCUGUAACCAUGGGAACAACAAAUGUAUUGGUGGAUACUAGCUCAUUUCCUUUUCCAACUUUCGGAAAUCCAAACCCAAAAAAAAUUAACAAAGAGAAGGGGCUAAGGAUAAGACUGCAAAAUGGUGACAAGAAGUACAUGUGGCGGUCUUUGGCGCUAAAUGGUGGCUCAAACAUAAAUGAAAAAUGGCCUAAUGUUAAACGGUUUCCUUGGCAAGUUUUAAUUAACUUAUAUAUAUAUAUAUAUAUAUAUAUAUAUAUAUAUAUAUAUAUAUAUAUAUAUAUAUAUAUAUAUAUAUAUAUAUAUAUAUAUAUAUAUAUAUAUAUUAAAGUCCUAAUAUUUUUAUCGAUUUGACAAAAAAGUCCUAAACAUUAUUUUUUUGACAGUAAAGUCCAAAUUACCGGCAGUUUUUGACACUUUUUACCUUUUUCUCCGAUUAGUCGGUAGUUAAGACUUUUUUUUUUUUUCAAAAAUAUAAAGUUUAAGACUUUCUUGUUAAAUAGUCAAUUAGGACUUUACUGUCAAAAAAUAAAAUUUAGUACUUUUUUGUCAAAUCGUUGAAAAUAUUGGGAGUUUAGUGUAUAUAUCCUUUUUUGGUUAGAAAUUUAAUGGUAUGAUACUCUUUAAGCAUAAGAGUUAUUGAAACUUUCUUUAGUUCGCUAGAUCCUAUUGAAAUCCUUAACGUUUACUUAUUGUUAAAUCGUUUUUUAAUCUCAACAAACCGACAUUGAAAAAAAUGGAGAUAAUAGAGAAAGAAAGAAAAAACCAUGGUUGUGUUGGCUUUUUGUAAUCACAAAAAUGGAGAAAUAAGAAACCGAAAAAAACGAAAUUGUCCUUCUUUUCUUUCUCCACAUUCACACCACUAGGCAUGUGUUGUUUGUGUUUGUAUAAUUUGUCCUCACUUUUUAGUUCAAGAUUUGGCAGCGAAGUAAGAAAAAGUUUUACAAGGGUGAAAAGACUUGUAAAACCUUCUUCUUACUUCGCCGCCAAAUCUUGAACUAAAAAAUGGGGACAAAUUAUACAAACACAAACAAUACAUGUCUAGUAAAAAUGGUGUGAAUGUGGAGAACAGAAAGAAGGGCAAUUUCAUUUUUUUCGGUUUCAUAUUUCUCCAUUUUUGGGACUGUAAAAAGCCAAUACAACCCUGAUUCUUUCUUUCUUUCUUGAUUAUCUCUAUUUUUUUCAAUGUCCAUUUGUUGAGAUUAAAAAAACGAUUUAACAAGAAAAAACGUUAAAGAUUUUAAUAGGAUCUAGCUGACAAUAGAAGGUUUCAAUAACUCCUAUGCUUAAAGAGUAUCAUACCAUUAAAAAAUGAUACAUACACUAAAUUCCCAAUAUUUUCAACGAUUUGACAAUAAAGUGUUAAACUUUAUUUUUUUUACAGUAAAAUCAUAAUUGACAAUUUGACAAGAAAGUCCUAAAUUUUAUUUUUUUUGACAAAAAAAGUCCUAAUUACCGGAUAACCGGGAAAAAGGGUAAAAGUGUUAAAAACUGUCGGUAAUUUGGACUUUACUGUAAAAAAAAUAAAGUUUAGGAUUUUCUUGUCAAAUCGAUGAAAAUUUUGGGACUUUAGUGUAUGUAUCCCUAACUUUUAAGUUUAUUUUCAUGUUAAAUAUUUUCUUUAGUUUUGUUUAUAUAUAUAUAUAUAUAUAUAUAUAUAUAUAUAUAUAUAUAUAUAUAUAUAUAUAUAUAUAUAUAUACCCAGGUUCUUUUAAGAACUAAAAGAUUUGGAAGAACUUGCGAACUCAUAAUCAACUCAUCAUUUUUCAACAUCAAAACACAAAUCUUCUCCAACCGGUACGUCUAAGUUCAAAAAAAGGAUUUGACAAUUUUUUUUUUGAUUUUUUGUAUGACUGCUGAUGAGCACAACCAACAGUUGUACGAACUACUAAUGAGCACAAUCAAUAGUCAUAUGACUGCUGAUUGUGCAUAUAUGCAGUCCUUAUGAUUGCUGAUUAUGCUCAUCAGCACUCCUUACAAUUGCUGAUUAUGCAUACAUGCAAAGUUUCUAAAAUAAACAAAAAAAAUUGUUAACUUUUUUUUAGCAUGCAUAUAGCUUGGAUGCACCAUUUAGAGAAGAUUGAUUUUUUUGGUGUUAAAAAUGAUAAGAUGAUUAUGAGUUCGCAAAUUCAUACCUUUUUUUUUUUUUUUUUUUUUACAGUUUUUACAAUACACAACCCUAUCUAUAUAUAACCUAUAAAGAUAUUUUUGCCACUUAUCAUACUCUCAUUCCAUUUGACACAUCAUUUUAAGAUGUUUUUUUUAUUUAUAUAUUUUUUCCAUAUGUCAUUUUAUGGUUUUUUCCAUUUUAUAAAAUUGCACAUAAUAGUCAAAUAUAAUAAAUGUAUAAUAAAGGAAUAACAA
Molecule: long non-coding RNA, 2682 nt
Organism: Lactuca sativa (garden lettuce)
Lineage: Eukaryota; Viridiplantae; Streptophyta; Magnoliopsida; Asterales; Asteraceae
Source: RefSeq, a predicted model, not a curated record